GUGGGGAAUCUUGCGCAAUGGGCGAAAGCCUGACGCAGCCAUGCCGCGUGGAUGAUGAAGGUCUUAGGAUUGUAAAAUCCUUUCACCGGUGAAGAUAAUGACUGUACCCACAGAAGAAGCCCCGGCUAACUCCGUGCCAGCAGCCGCGGUAAUACGGAGGGGGCUAGCGUUGCUCGGAAUUACUGGGCGUAAAGGGCGCGUAGGCGGAUCGUUAAGUCAGGGGUGAAAUCCCAGAGCUCAACUCUGGAACUGCCCUUGAUACUGGCGAUCUUGAGUGUGAGAGAGGUAUGUGGAACUCCGAGUGUAGAGGUGAAAUUCGUAGAUAUUCGGAAGAACACCAGUGGCGAAGGCGACAUACUGGCUCAUUACUGACGCUGAGGCGCGAAAGCGUGGGGAGCAAACAGGAUUAGAAACCCCAGUAGUCC
This 425-nucleotide ribosomal RNA is filed under the name uncultured bacterium. Its description in RNAcentral is "partial 16S ribosomal RNA". It matches the Rfam family "Bacterial small subunit ribosomal RNA", at positions 354 to 796 of the family's 1533-position model. The record is from RNAcentral.